This is a long non-coding RNA of Exaiptasia diaphana, 2008 nucleotides long. RefSeq lists it as uncharacterized. The record is from RefSeq and is a predicted model, not a curated record. The transcript has 6 exons. NCBI's taxonomy places the organism in Eukaryota, Metazoa, Cnidaria, Anthozoa, Actiniaria, Aiptasiidae.
UGCUUGCAGGAUAAUUUUUGAACAAAUCAGAAAGCGGCAAAGGCUUCCGCGAAUAAAAGUAGAUAGGACUUCAAAAUUACCUUUGUUAGCUAGAAUCAGCAGCAAGAAUUAUAUCUGUCAAACUUGGCUACAAAAUUUAGAUAUGAGAUGUAUUAAUUUCUGACAUCAUUUGUUAAUUGUAUUCUCAGGUUCAUUGCUGAAAAUUCCUAUACUGAAGGGAAGGAGGACACACGGUGCCGUGGGUGAAGUAGUUGAGAUGACUGGGUCACACUUGAUCACGAAGAGCAGCAAAUGGCACCAUGAACAGAGGACCGUCAGGAAUGAUGAUCACCUCGUCGUUGGUCAGAUGGUUGAUUACUGGAGAAAGAAGUCUAUGGGAGAGCUUGCCGAGAGGCUCGAUAUCGUCUCCAUCAUCCGCUAACCAUCUGUCAACCUGUCGAAAAACUGUGAGGGCAAUUUCUCUGAGCUUCGAAGACUUUGUAGCGCCUGCAGACUCGUCUACUUCGAUGUUGUCCAUCAUUUUAUCAUAAAAGAAUGUUGAUGGAUUUUGGGAUGAUAUGACCCAACAAUGGAACUGGCAUCUACAUCGACGAAUUCAGAACCUACAGAAAAUGGAACUCCAAACGAGCUUAACAGGAGACGUUGUAGACAGUGGACAAGAAAGACGACCAUCAUCGAAUUCUGUUGAAGACGAAGAAGCAAGAAGUUCAGUUUCAGAGCUCAAACCGCAAACGUCACCGUUCCGUAUAAAUUCACCAUAAGUCAUACACAAAAAGCUCAGCGUUAAACAUUCUCCUAAGGAAUCCUUUGCACUAAGGCCAACCAAGCAAAGUUAUCUAGAUAAACUAUGAGGUGGCAAGCAUGAAGCUCCCAAAUGGGACAACAGAUACUUUGAGCUUGCAGAAGGAGGUCACCUCUACUACUAAAAGAAAGCAAAAGGAAAAAUUAUGAACACUAUCUAUUUAAGAGGACGGUCCUGUGAUCUUUGAUGAACAGUUCUGCCAUUACCGUAAUUCGUAUUAAAACAGACGAUCGUGAAUGGUGUCUAAGGGCGCAACUAUCGAUGAAGGAAAGACUGGAAAGAAAGUCUUGACUUCUACGACAAGAAAACGUCUGUAUCUAUGUAGAUGAACUAGCUAGAAAUUAGUCUCAUUAUGAAUAUUAUACUUGAAUGGAUGCAUCAGAGUGACAGAAACGCUUAGAAUAACAACUAAGGGUUAUAAUAUUAAUUGCUUAGCUGCUAACUGUGCAAUUACGCUAUCUCAUGUACAAUAUGAAUGUAAGCUGAAAUGACAAUUCACGGAUUUUUACGAUUACGUUUGUGUUUGCGUCUUUGUCAUUAGUGCACUCAUCAAUAAUAUGGACCAACCAAUUGGUGUAACCUGUUACGCGCAUUAACUUUAAAAUUAGCUGAACAAAUGCAUUUUGUAUUACAUAUUCAAUACAUUUUCAUUUUUCCAAAGACUUGAACAAGUUCUUUGUGKAAAAGUGAGAAUUUGUUGGAAUUGGUAAUAUACAAGAACUUUACUAAACGAAGGUGAAUGUUGCUAGCAAUAACUUAAAUURCUCAACAUGUUUUUAUUGCUGCAAAAAGCUACUCAACUUGGUGUAAAUGGAAGAGUUUUCCUAAUACGGGUGCAGACCAACAUUCACCCUCAAACUGAAUCACGUGAUGUAAGUGGUAUGCAACAAGCUGCAGUUAUUUGUUUCCAGAUUAUCUGAGCUUAAAAUGUGAAUAUAUAUUGGAAUAGUCUCCUUCACGGUUCCCUUCGCCAUCUUGAAAGGUAGUCGACCCUUUGCAUCAAAGCGAGACAACCGUUGUCUAUGGGUGUGAAAGAAGGUUUCUAUCAUUGCACGCUCAACGGUUGUCUCGGUUCGAUGCAAAGGCACGGCUACCUUUCAAGAUGGCGCAGGGAACCGUGAAGAAGACUAUUGUGGUAUUCAUUUUGUAUAGGUCAAUUGUAUAGUUGUAAUUUUGUAUAUUGUUUAGUUAAUUGUUAAUAAAGAA